GUUUUUUUUGUGAAAUCGACUCCUGGUAUUUUAAUAAAUUUUAGAUUUCCAGCAUCACUACUAAAGUGAAGACAUACAAACAAGAGUCACAAGUCCAGUGCCAAAUAUUUCAUGAAUUAUUUGAACGAUAUCAUAUUAACAAUAAAUACUUUACAUAAGUUUUAUUAUCAUACCGGGGAUUUAGGAACGGGCCUAAAUUUGUUUACGAUUAUUCGUGAUAAACAUUUGUUAAACUUAAAAAUAAAGACCGAAUUUUUUUUAUAACUUCAUUAAGAAACUAUUUGAUUCUCUCAAAAAAUGGAAAAAAAAGCUCUAAAAAUUAUAAACUGGUAGUAAGGUUUUAUAUUAUGAACUUUUAGUUUCGAGCAUCACUUAAAUACACGCAAACAAGAGAAACUACGUCCAGUGGCAAAUAUUUCAUGCAUGAACAGGACGACAACAUACUUUGGAUAAGUUAUAUAAUGAGAUGCGGAAGAAUAUUUGCCGGAACUCUUGGAUUGUACAUUAAUUAUUCCGGGAAUUUGGGAUUAGGCCUAAAUGAAUUGUGUACAGUUAUUAAAAAUUUACACUUUACGGUUAUUAGGAAUCUACACUAAUCGUAACUCGAAAUUAAAUUAUAUUUUUUUCUGGAGCGGAAAAGGACAGUUUUAUUUUUACGGAAUAUCAGUGUUUUAUCUUUUAGUUCCCUUUAUAUUAUAGGACAAGUUUGGGGGAUUGGGCACGUUUGGGUGUUUAUUAAAAAAUGGACACGUUUAGGCGUUUAAACAAUACAAAUGACACGCCGC
This 785-nucleotide long non-coding RNA is filed under the name Mytilus galloprovincialis (Mediterranean mussel). Lineage: Eukaryota; Metazoa; Mollusca; Bivalvia; Mytilida; Mytilidae. The record is from RNAcentral.